AAAUUCGUAUAGGUUUUAUAGAAGAUCGGAAGUUGAGUAGAGUAUUAACCAUGGCGUCUGAUAGCAAACCCAUCGACAUCGAUCCAAGGACCUGCUUCUACAAGUCCGAUUCCGUCUACUACAGCAAGUGAAAACUCAUUGCUCUCCCCUGCAACGAAUCCCUUGAUGUCACCACCUUCAUCUCCUCCCGUGCCCACAAUGGUAAGAUCGCUUUCAUCGACGCCUCCAUCGGUUGCUACCUCACCUUCCCGGAAGUCUGGCGUGCGGUUGAUUCCGUCACCUCCUGCCUAUCGGAGAUGGGUGUUCAAAAGGGCAACGUUGUCCUCCUUUCCC
Molecule: long non-coding RNA, 333 nt
Organism: Telopea speciosissima
Lineage: Eukaryota; Viridiplantae; Streptophyta; Magnoliopsida; Proteales; Proteaceae
Exons: 4
Source: RefSeq, a predicted model, not a curated record